RNAcentral lists this long non-coding RNA (2575 nucleotides) under Homo sapiens (human). RNAcentral describes it as "HSALNT0238049". The record is from RNAcentral. Lineage: Eukaryota; Metazoa; Chordata; Mammalia; Primates; Hominidae.
GUAAGUGCUAGGACGAAAAUUAGCAGGUGAAGUGACGGCUAGGGCUCCUUGGCUGGGGGAGAGAGAAGGAGGCCUGUCUGUGCAAAGAUCUAAAUAGCAAGAGGAACCGCCAUGGGUAGAGUCUGGGAAGAGCAUUUUGUUCUUUUAGAGGCAGGGUCUUGCUGUGUUGCCCAGGCCGAACUUGAAUUCCUGGCCUCAAACAGUCCUCCCACCUCAGCCUUCUGAGUAGCUGGGACUACAGGGGCCUGCCCUCCUGGGAAGAGCAUCAUUGGCAGAAAGAACAUCAAGUGCAAAGGUCCUGAGGCAGGAGAGAACUUGAUAAGAAAAUCAAGGCUCAGAGAGGUGAAGUCACUGAUCCAAAGUCACACAGCAGGUCAAAAGGAGAUCAUGUUUCCUGCCUGGAGGAGAGGCCCCGGUGGACUGGAAUAGGAGAAAGUGGAGGGGGUGUAUUUCAGGAUAGAAUCCUGCACCCUGCCAGGGACCACGCUUAUCCUUGGCUCACUCAAUAGGAUGCAAGGGCGUUUACUGUGGCCAGGUCUUGUGAGUGCCCAGAGCCCUGUGGCAAGAAGCCUCUGCCAGGGAAAGGGAUGCGGGGAAGUGGAGGCAGUGAUGGGGAAGCAGAGCCAGGAGAGACCCUUGGGCUUCCUUCCUUCAAGGCCUCUGGUCUCUAGCAGAGAGAAGAGAGGGAGCAGGUGAGAGCCCCACUUAGCUCUAGGCAAUAUUUUUUUUUCAGACAGGAUCCCACUCUGUCACCCAGGCUGGAGUGCAGUGGCACAAUCAUGACUCACUGCAGCCUCAACCUCCCAAGCUCAAGCAACGCUCCCAUCUCAGCCUCCCAAGCUCAAGCACCGCUCCCAUCUCAGCCUCCCAAGUUGCUUGGACUACAGGUGCACGCUAUCACGCCCAGCUAAUUUUUGUAUUUUUUGUAGAGAUGGGUUUUUGCCAUGUUGUUCAGGCUGCUCUUGAACUCCUGAGUUAAGUGAUCUGCCUUGCCUACCUUGGCCUCCCAAAGUGCUGGGAUUACAGGCAUGAGCCACUGCGUGCAGCCGAGCCAAACCUCAUUCUAGAUUCCAUCUCCAGGAAUAAUGAUGUGGGACCCACCACACAGCCCCCAUAGUCUGGCAAGUGAGACAGACAUUGAACCCACUCUAAAGAAGGGUCUCAUUAUCCCAAGAAAAAGACCACUUUGACCACAAGUCAAAGCUCUGGGAACCAACAUUUCUUAGUAAUUGGGAAAAAAAUGUUUAAUUGGAAUUUUGUUUUGAAAAAUGAAAUUUAAACUAUGAAAAUAUACACAUUUUAUCUUCCACAAACAACAUUUAGGUUAAUAUGCUAAUUCUUAGAUUAAUGUGCUAAUACUUAGUGUUAUGGUUUGACUGUCCCCUCCAAAACUUAUGAUGAAAUUUAUUUAUUUAUUUUAUUUUUUUUUUUUUUAGAUGGAGUUUUGUUCUUGUCACCCAGGCUGGAGUGCAAUGGCAUGAUCUCGGCUAAGUGCAACUCCUGCCUCCUGGGUUCAAGCAAUUCUCCUGCCUUAGCCUUUUGAGUAGCUGGGAUUACAAGUGGCCACCCCUAUACCCAGCUAAUUUUUAUAUUUUUAGUAGAGACAAGGUUUCACCAUUUUGGCCACGAUGGUCUUGAACUCCUGACCUCAAGUGAUCUGCCUUCUUUGGCCUCCCAAAGUGCUGGGAUUACAGUGGUGAGCCAUCAUGCCCGGCUGAUUUAUGAUGAAAUUUAAUUGCCAUUGUGAAGGUAUUAAGAGGUGGGACUAUUAAGAAGUGAUUAGGUCAUAAGGGCAAAACCCUCAUGAAUGGAUUAAUCUCUUUAUUGAAGGAGUGAGCUCAUGAUCAAGACACUGGAUUUAUUGUAAAAAUGAGUUCAGCUCUCUCUUGCUCACUGUCUAGUGCUCUCUUGCCCUUCUGCCUUCCACCAUGGGAUGAUACAGCAUGAAGACCCCCACCAGAUGCUGGUGCCAUACUCUUGGACUUCCCAGUCUUCAGAAGCAUGAGCCAAAUAAAUUUCUAUUGUUUACAAAUUACCCAGAGUGGUAUUCUGUUUUAGCAUCAGAAAAUGGAGUAAGACAAUUAGAGUACAAAAAGUUCAUUGGAGUAGGCAUAGUUCUUCCCACAAAAUUGCCUGAUGGUCCUUACUAGAACCUUCUGGGUCCUAACAACCAGAAUGCUUCAUCACAUCCCCCUGAGUUCUUUGGGCCACUCUGAGUUCUAUGACAUUCAAAUCAUUUUCUUCCAAAGCACAGGUUCAUCUUUCUUCACGUUGGGGGUUUUCAUUAUUUAGACAGGGCUGACCCAGCCAGAUAGAUAGAUCCUUGGUUUGUCAGCCACUGUGUGCAGAACCCAGGAGCUCUCCAACGUAACUCUCAUCAACUUCAAGAAAUUCUACAACUUUGAAGUUUUCCUUUGCUACCAGCUUGCAUAAGCAGACCUGACAGACAGAAGAGAUGCAGAUGGGGGGUGGACAGAUGCUGGUGCUAGGUAGGGUGAGAUGCUUGACUGGGAACGAAGUAAGUGGCCAGGACAGUACUAAAUAUAUUCAUGUUUUAACAACUCUUAACUUCCAA